CAGGACGAACGCUGGCGGCGUGCCUAAUACAUGCAAGUCGAGCGCGGGAAGCGGACUCGUCACCCUUCGGGGUGUCUAGUCCGUGGAACGAGCGGCGGAUGGGUGAGUAUCACGUGGGCAACCUGCCUGUAAGAUUGGGAUAACUCGCGGAAACGUGAGCUAAUACCGAAUGAAGUCUUUCACCGCCUGGUGAAAGGAUGAAAGAUGGCUUUUAGCUAUCACUUACAGAUGGGCCCGCGGCGCAUUAGCUAGUUGGUGGGGUAAAGGCCUACCAAGGCGACGAUGCGUAGCCGACCUGAGAGGGUGAUCGGCCACACUGGGACUGAGACACGGCCCAGACUCCUACGGGAGGCAGCAGUAGGGAAUCUUCCGCAAUGGACGAAAGUCUGACGGAGCAACGCCGCGUGAAGUGAUGAAGGUCUUCGGAUCGUAAAACUCUGUUGUCAGGGAAGAACAAGUUGUGUUCUAACAGGACAUGACCUUGACGGUACCUGACCAGAAAGCCCCGGCUAACUACGUGCCAGCCGCGGC
RNAcentral lists this ribosomal RNA (531 nucleotides) under uncultured bacterium. Its description in RNAcentral is "bacterial SSU rRNA". It matches the Rfam family "Bacterial small subunit ribosomal RNA", at positions 25 to 518 of the family's 1533-position model. The record is from RNAcentral.